AUGAAGGGCGCAGGGCGGAUGCCUUGGCACUGAGAGCCGAUGAAGGACGUGACAAGCUGCGAAAAGCUUCGGGGAGGGGCAAAUACCCAUUGAUCCGGAGAUCUCCGAAUGGGGCAACCCACACAGACAGACUCUGUGUACCGUAUGAUGAAUCCAUAGUCAUACGGAGGUAAGCCGGUAAACUGAAACAUCUAAGUAGCCGGAGGAAAAGAAAGAAAACUCGAUCCCCCCAGUAGCGGCGAGCGAACGGGGGACAGUCCAAACCGCGGUGCAUGCACCGCGGGGUUGCGGGCAGCGAUACUGCAGCCACAAGGAUAGCCGAAUGGGUUUGGGAAACCCAUCCAUAGAACGUGAGAGACGUGUAGGCGAAAUCCGAAGGGCGCACAGCUGUACCAGAGUACCACGGGACACGGGAAACCCUGUGGGAAGCCGGAGGGACCACCCUCCAAGACUAAAUACUCUCAGUGACCGAUAGCGCAUAGUACUGUGAAGGAAAGGUGAAAAGGACCCCGGGAGGGGAGUGAAAGAGAACCUGAAACCCUGUGUCUUCAAACUGUGGGAGAGCAAAAGCUCGACCGCGUACUUUUUGUAGAACGGUCCGGCGAGUUGCCGGUGCUGGCGAGGUUAAGCACUUAAGAAGGUGCGGAGCCGAAGGGAAACCAAGUCUUAAGAGGGCGUCCAGUCAGCAGCGGCAGACCCGAAACCGGGUGAUCUACCCAUGGCCAGGAUGAAGCUGCCGUAAGAGGCAGUGGAGGUCCGAACGCACAUCUGUUGAAAAAGGUGGCGAUGAGCUGUGGGUAGGGGAGAAAUUCCAAUCGAACCCGGAGAUAGCUGGUUCUCCUCGAAACAGCUUUAGGGCUGUCCUCGUUACAGACUUGCGGAGGUAGAGCACUGAAUUUGCAAGGGAACGUCAAAGUUUACCAAGCGAUAUCAAACUCCGAAUGCCGUAAAGCCGAUUAACGGGAGUCAGACUGCACGAGAUAAGUUGGGCGGUCAAAAGGGAAAGAGCCCAGACCCGCAGCUAAGGUCCCCAAGUGCGUGUUAAGUGGUAAAGGAUGUGGGAUUUCACAGACAACCAGGACGUUGGCUCAGAAGCAGCCAUACAUUCAAAGAGUGCGUAACAGCUCACUGGUCGAGAGGUCCCGCGCCGAAAAUGUCCGGGGCUGAAACACGACACCGAAGCUCGGGAAUGUAGC
This 1196-nucleotide ribosomal RNA is filed under the name Bilifractor porci. Its description in RNAcentral is "partial 23S ribosomal RNA". It matches the Rfam family "Bacterial large subunit ribosomal RNA", at positions 10 to 1213 of the family's 2925-position model. The record is from RNAcentral. Lineage: Bacteria; Bacillati; Bacillota; Clostridia; Lachnospirales; Lachnospiraceae.